GUUGUUACAAAUCUUUAUUUACGUAUUGUGAUGCUGAACUCGAGCAAAUCAAUUACAAGUAGUGUCUAUAGGAAGAAAAUACGUUACAGUAAAUGUUGCUAAGAGUUUUCUGCCAUGGAGAAAGAGGUUAUUUGGCUUGAGGGACGACAACUGGGUGAAAUUAUGUGACUAAAUAAAGUAUCAUCUAAAACCAAAAUGUUACAGUAACAAUACUAGUACUCCAUGUAUGGGGACUUGAUACCUGUGACAUUCACCUCUUUCACUGUGAGAGCCAAUGUGUGGUGAGCUUAUCUGGCAUAAAAUGGAUGCUGUGCAUCAUCCAGGUUGGUGUGCUACUGUACACAAUGGUAGCAGGUGGGGUGCGUUACUCCCAUGCAAUGUAAAGCACUAUGAAGCUUAUUGAAAAGCGCUGACAUUUUUUAAAAUUGUAUCUGUAUUUUUUUUUCAAACAAGAAAAACCUCAAAAUCAGUCACAUUUUAAUCGUAAUCUCUACAUAUUGUACACAUAAAUUUAAAGUUUGGCACUUUUUUCAGUACUGUGAUAUCUAUAAGAGGAAACACCAUCCAUAUGUGGACGAGCACAUACCAUAGAUACUGUAUUACAGAUAGAAGGCUUAUAAUUUCAUUAUAUAAUGUGUAAAUAUUUCUUACUUCUAUAUUUCAUCAUCUAAGACAUAUGCCUUCUUCCUCCUCCAUAGGUUCCAUUGUUCAAAGUUCAAACACUUUUCAUCAGACAAUGAAACACCAUGGAAUAUUUAUAGGAAGGCCUUCUUGCUGCGCUUUCCCGUUCAAGCGUUGUUGAGAAAAUUAGAAUUUCCGUUACAGGCAUUGGAUUUUUUCUUUGUUUACCAGACCUCCGUAAUGACCAACAGCACUUCCCUUGCAUAGUUUUUACAUGACAUGUGUUUACCUGGGAUGUGAACCCGGGACAUAUUUCUGUCAUGAAAAUGUGACAAAUGGUGGCCCUGGUUGCAAUGCCAUGAUAUUUUACACUUUAAGUAUAGCUUGUGGUAAAAAAAUGAUAGGCCAUGCAUGUGCGCAAAGAGGUGGACACACUUCUCUGUUCAGCUUAUGCCUCCCCUCAAAAAUCAUCCCUUAUUUGUUCCGAUUCUCCCCCUUUCUCCAGAAGUGUGCCUUUCCAAUCUCCCAGGCAUAGAUUUCGAAUAAUUAAAUUGGUGUUGGCAUUAGCUGGAGGGAGUUUCCACCAUUGUUAAAUCCAUGACCAAACAUCUCAACUUCGAUGUCGGCCCACCACCUCAAGCUCUAACUCGUCAAGACAGAACUGCUCUUCCUCCCAGAAAAGGCCUGCCUGCUCAAAGACCUCUCCAUCACGGUUGACAACGCCACAGUGUAACCCUCUCAGAGUGCAAAGAACCUUGGCAUAACCCUGUUGUUCUCUGCAAACAUCAAAGCAGUGACCCGCUCCUGCAGGUUCAUGCUCUACAACAUUCAUACCUCACACAGGAAGCAGUGCAGGUCCUAAUCCAGGCUCUUGUCCUUUCCCGUCUGGACUGCUGCAACUCGCUGUUUGCUGGGCUCCCCACUUGUGCUAUAAACUUAUUCAGAAUGCUGCAGCCCGCAUGGUUUUAAACCUUCCCAAGUUCCCUCAUGUCACCCGCUCCUCCGCACACUCCACUAGCUUCCAGUUGAAGCUCACAUCCACUACAAAACCAUGGUGCUCACCUGCUGAACAAUGAGGAACUUCCCCUCCCUACCUGCAGGCUCUGGUGACCAGCAAGAAGUUACAUUAUGCUGGCUUGCAAAGUGAUGUUUAAUUCCUAUUGGAAUCCAUCCAGAGUGGAUUCAGAAUGACUGCCAGUGUCAAAAAGAUAAACAAAAUUAGACUAAACUUGAACAACCAUUUCAGUCACGGGUGCAAUAAGUCCAACUAAAAGAUUGGAUUAAUUUAGUUAUUUAUCUUUGUGUAGCAAAACAUUCAUUAAUGUAUUCCUUAACCAAUCAAUGUACAUGCAACACAGAUAUUGAAAACAACUAUUCUUAAAAUCUAACUGCAAUGCUGGGAAAUAUGAUACUGAUGGGCGUGGUUUUGCCAACCAGUAAAAUUACUGAUUACUUUGGUGUCAACCUCACUUGGGAUUUGAACUCACAACCUCUCAGUUGCCAGCAACCUGAAUUUCCUGCUACAAUACUGGAUCUGUUCAUGUGACUAUGGUUGUAGUGGUCAUGAAAUUUUGUCAGCCGGUUAUUGUCAUGCGAAAGACUGCCAGUCUCACAGUAAUUGACGGUUAAGUAACAAACAUGUUUAGCAUCUCCAGGCCUCCACUCAUACAAGUUGCUGAUGCUCGCCUUUGGAACAUCUACAUUUAAAGUCUAAUAAAUUAUUUUAAUAUGCACCAUCACAAUAAAUCUAUUGUAUUUUAGACAGCUCUGAAGAAACAUUAUGACAUGAAGAAAAUUUGUUUCAAAAUGUCCCAAAUUAUUGGCUACUAUGCCUGCAGAAAGUAUUCACACCCCUUGACUUUCUCCACAUUUUGUUACAAAGUGGGAUUCAGAAGGACUUAAUUGUAAAAAAAAAUUGCCAACGAUCUUCACAAAAUACUC
Molecule: long non-coding RNA, 2562 nt
Organism: Oncorhynchus tshawytscha (Chinook salmon)
Lineage: Eukaryota; Metazoa; Chordata; Actinopteri; Salmoniformes; Salmonidae
Source: Ensembl